This 74-nucleotide transfer RNA is filed under the name Paenibacillus roseus. It matches the Rfam family "tRNA". Rfam says of the family: Transfer RNA (tRNA) molecules are approximately 80 nucleotides in length. Their secondary structure includes four short double-helical elements and three loops (D, anti-codon, and T loops). Further hydrogen bonds mediate the characteristic L-shaped molecular structure. tRNAs have two regions of fundamental functional importance: the anti-codon, which is responsible for specific mRNA codon recognition, and the 3' end, to which the tRNAs corresponding amino acid is attached (by aminoacyl-tRNA synthetases). tRNAs cope with the degeneracy of the genetic code in two manners: having more than one tRNA (with a specific anti-codon) for a particular amino acid; and 'wobble' base-pairing, i.e. permitting non-standard base-pairing at the 3rd anti-codon position. The record is from Rfam by way of RNAcentral. Lineage: Bacteria; Bacillati; Bacillota; Bacilli; Caryophanales; Paenibacillaceae.
GGGGAAAUAGCUCAGUCGGUUAGAGUGUUGGCUUGUCACGCCAAAGGUCGCGGGUUCGAGUCCCGUUUUUCUCG